UCAGGCAUGAUAUUCAACUCAACAUGACUCGGGAGUUGGAGUCAGGUAUUUUGUUUCAACAGGUGGUAGGGAUCGCUCGUCGGUUAGAGGGCAUGUGGGACCGAGAAUGGAGGACAUGCGAGAUCAGGAGAGAGAGUGCGGGGAGGUGAGGAGGCCUCGUAGACCAGAGAGAUCUGUUGGUUCUUAUUUUGGAGGCAAGGUGCGGCAUGGUAGAGGUUUCGUGGGUCAGCCAGUUCAAUUUGUGCUUCAAACUUCGCACUAUAAUUCAGGUGUUCAUGGGUCUUAAAGUACCUAUACCGCACAAUUCCUAUAGCCACAUCAGCAUCGAGGUUACUUUGAGUAUGGAGAUACUAGCCAUAUGGUGAUAUAUUGUCCCAAACUUCUGACAAAUGCGUCACAAUGAGGUAUUCAUGCGAGUAGAGGGCGCCCAAGAGGGUGAGGCACGUCCUGUUGCUGUGUUUCAUAUAGUAGGCUUAAGACCGCUAUGCCAGAUGAUGUCAUUCAGAUCAAGGUUUUGAUCGUUAGUAGCUGAGCAGAUUCUUGUCAAGGAGACUAAAGAUAAACCUGAUGCUGCGUUCGCAGGCUUCGGGGUCACCUUCAUAUUUCGUAUUCACACAGUUGUACUUAUUCCCAUACAGUUGUGUUUAGAAAUUGUAGCGAAACUCUGUAGAGCUUAUGACUUGUACCGCCGAUUUUGGGAAGAUGUAAAUUUCAUAAAGAUUUCUAUGUUGAAACUGUUAGACUUUCUUUAUUA
Non-coding RNA from Nicotiana tabacum (common tobacco), 754 nucleotides. The record is from RefSeq and is a predicted model, not a curated record. NCBI's taxonomy places the organism in Eukaryota, Viridiplantae, Streptophyta, Magnoliopsida, Solanales, Solanaceae.